This 482-nucleotide ribosomal RNA is filed under the name uncultured bacterium. Its description in RNAcentral is "partial 16S ribosomal RNA". It matches the Rfam family "Bacterial small subunit ribosomal RNA", at positions 30 to 507 of the family's 1533-position model. The record is from RNAcentral.
AUUGAACGCUGGCGGCAUGCCUUACACAUGCAAGUCGAACGGUAACGAGCCUUCGGGUGCCGACGAGUGGCGCACGGGUGAGUAAUACAUCGGAACGUGCCCGAUCGUGGGGGAUAACGAGGCGAAAGCUUUGCUAAUACCGCAUACGAUCUACGGAUGAAAGCAGGGGACCGCAAGGCCUUGCGCGGACGGAGCGGCCGAUGGCAGAUUAGGUAGUUGGUGGGAUAAAAGCUUACCAAGCCGACGAUCUGUAGCUGGUCUGAGAGGAUGAUCAGCCACACUGGGACUGAGACACGGCCCAGACUCCUACGGGAGGCAGCAGUGGGGAAUUUUGGACAAUGGGCGCAAGCCUGAUCCAGCCAUGCCGCGUGCAGGAUGAAGGCCUUCGGGUUGUAAACUGCUUUUGUACGGAACGAAAAGCCUUCUUUUAAUACAGGAGGGUCAUGACGGUACCGUAAGAAUAAGCACCGGCUAACUACGUG